RNAcentral lists this unclassified non-coding RNA (263 nucleotides) under air metagenome. RNAcentral describes it as "partial contains small subunit ribosomal RNA, internal transcribed spacer 1, and 5.8S ribosomal RNA". The stretch from base 1 to 46 matches the Rfam family "Eukaryotic small subunit ribosomal RNA", at positions 1786 to 1831 of the family's 1831-position model. The record is from RNAcentral.
AAGUCGUAACAAGGUUUCCGUAGGUGAACCUGCGGAAGGAUCAUUAUCGAGUUUGAAAGGGGUUGUAGCUGGCCUUUCACGAGGCAUGUGCACACCCCACUCAUCCACUCAACACCUGUGCACACUAUGUAGGCUUAGAUGAGUGUCGAGGCUUUGCUUCGGCAGGAGUCUGGCCUAUGUCUUUAUAAACUCUGUUCAGUAAACGAAUGUACCUGCGAUAAUCGCAUUUAAUACAACUUUCAGCAACGGAUCUCUUGGCUCUC